GACGAACGCUGGCGGCGUGCUUAACACAUGCAAGUCGAACGGAAAGGCCCUGCUUUUGUGGGGUGCUCGAGUGGCGAACGGGUGAGUAACACGCGAGUAACCUGCCCUUGACUUUGGGAUAACUUCAGGAAACUGGGGCUCAUACCGGAUAGGAGCUCCUGCUGCAUGGUGGGGGUUGGAAAGUUUCGGCGGUUGGGGAUGGACUCGCGGCUUAUCAGCUUGUUGGUGGGGUAGUGGCUUACCAAGGCUUUGACGGGUAGCCGGCCUGAGAGGGUGACCGGCCACAAUGGGACUGAGAUACGGACCAGACUCCUACGGGAGGCAGCAGUGGGAAAUAUUGCACAAUGGGGGGAAGCCUGAUGCAGCAACGCCGCGUGCGGGAUGACGGCCUUCGGGUUGUAAACCGCUUUCGCCUGUGACGAGGCGUGAGUGACGGUAAUGGGUAAAGAAGCACCGGCUAACUACGUG
RNAcentral lists this ribosomal RNA (468 nucleotides) under uncultured bacterium. Its description in RNAcentral is "partial 16S ribosomal RNA". It matches the Rfam family "Bacterial small subunit ribosomal RNA", at positions 28 to 507 of the family's 1533-position model. The record is from RNAcentral.